RNAcentral lists this unclassified non-coding RNA (3406 nucleotides) under Hevea brasiliensis (rubber tree). The record is from RNAcentral. Lineage: Eukaryota; Viridiplantae; Streptophyta; Magnoliopsida; Malpighiales; Euphorbiaceae.
UGUGUGUGUGUGUGUGUGUGUGAGUGUUUUAGCAUCAAAGAAUUUUUUGGGCCAUCAAUUAAACAAUGUCCUAUUUAGAACUAAUUCAUAAUCAUACAAUGUUUAAAUAUUUUGAAUUCCUGAGGCAAAUUCAUGAUAUCUAAUUGUGCACUGGAUUAAUCCUCACUUUUUCCAUGAGACUGAUGAAUGCUGUCUUAAUGAUCCUACAAUGGAGAAAAACACUUGCUAUCUCUUUGACACAAGGAAAAUUACAACAAAUAAGAUUCAACUUUUAAGAUUUCUGUUGAUUAGAAAUUUCAGAUGUUGUUUGAAAUGACAAGUAUAAAAAUUUUUAUAUUACUUUAAGACUGAUAUGUUAGGAGGUUCUGCUUGAUUACUUUGUUUAUGUUGUGAAUUUGAAUGUAGUAAUUUUUUUUUAAAAAUAGAAUCUUGCUUAAAAUCUCUCUUGUAGCGCCUAGUUUUGUAGCAUAUUGAGUAAUUUAUCAAUUAUAAAUAGCAAGAAAAGAUUGGUGGGAACGGUUAUUUUGUUAAGAAUAAUGAGUUGGCAAAUUUGUUAGAGACAGCUGUAUAGUUCUUUGUAUAAAAACAGUAGAAGAGUCUCGAAUAGAAGCAGUUACAAUUUCACAAUAUUUUCUCUCAUUCUCCUAUCCUUUCAUGGUAUUAGAGCACUUGUCCCGUGUAAAUGACGUUCUUGUUUUCUGCAUCUGCUACUUCUGGUGAUUGAAUUAGAAGAAGGUAUUGCUAUAAUACAUAUUUCUUCUUUGUAAUACUGUUCUUUGAUUGUUCUUGAAAAUGGAUGCCGGAGAUUCAAGCGAAACCAGAGUCUCGACAAAUCAAUCCACAGAUGAGAUUUUUCAUCUUCAAAACUCUGAUAAUCCAGGCUUGGUGCUAGUCAGUGCACCACUGACUGGAACAAACUACCUGGCAUGGAGUUGUUCAAUGAUGAUAGCACUUCGCGUGAAGAACAAAUUAGGAUUCAUUAAUGGCAGCACCGAAAAACCUGAGGAAGAUUCUCCUACAUUCGAUAAAUGGCAAAGAGCAGAUUCCAUGGUUUUUUCAUGGAUCUUGAACGCAAUUUCUAAGGAUUUAGUAGAAGCUUUUCUCUAUGUUACUACAGCCAAAGAACUAUGGGAAGAACUGAAACAGCGCUUCGGUGAGAGUAACGGGCCUCUGUUGUAUCAGAUCAAACGGGAAAUUAGUUCUUUCUCUCAAGAUAACAUGUCGGUAGGGGUAUAUUUCACAAAGCUCAAGAAGCUUUGGGACGAGCUAAGUUGCUUACGACCCUUUCCCGCGUGUACUUGUGGUGCAGCAAAGACUAUGAUAGAUAUUGAGAACGGUGAUAAGGUGAUACAAUUUCUGAUGGGUCUCCGGGAUGGUUAUGAUCAUGUUCGAAACCAGGUGCUGCUUAUGGAUCCACUGCCAAAAAUUAAUAAAGCCUAUUCUAUGGUCUUGAGUGUGGAGAAACAGAGGGAGAUAUAUGGAUGGAUAACUGAAUCAAGUGAAAAUGUUGUGUUAAUGGCUAAAAACACAUUUACAAGGAAAGAUCUAAUGCCAAACAAGUCACAGAAAAAAGGAGAUUUGGGAAAGAAAGAAGAUCGGUACUGCAGCUAUUGCAAUAAGUCCGGACAUCUCAAGGAGACGUGCUUCAAGUUGCACGGAUAUCCUGAAUGGUUUCACGAGCUUAAGCAGAAGAAGAUGAAUAAGCCACAAGCAUACAUGACCACUCAAAUGCAGGAUACACCUUUUGAUGGUGAUUUCUUAACUGAUGUACCCAAAAGAAGUGAGAAUUGGGCCAAUUCUGUUGAGUUUACCACGGCUGUACAGCAAGAGGUAGCAAGAUACAUGAAAGGGAAAAUGAGUACCGAUGAUAACUGUGCCAAUUACGCUGGUUUUGCAGGUAUGGCUAAUAACUUUUCUUUACUUAGCACUGAAAAUGACUGGAAAGGUACAUGGAUCAUUGAUACGGAUGCCUCAUCUCAUAUGACUUUUAAUCCUUUAUUCCUUGAUUCAUUUCAAACUCUUCCCAAACCUACAUUUGUAAGUUUACCCGAUGGUUCAAAGAAAGAAACCUGUCAAAUAGGCACUGUCACAGUAACACCCAAACUAAUUCUCAAAGACACUUUAUGCAUCCCAACAUUUAAACACAACCUUUUGUCUGUCAGUAAACUAGUUGCAACUUCUAAUAUCAUUGCCAUUUUUUACCCAGACCACUGUGUUUUGCAGGACCAGUUGACUAAGGAAGUGGUGGCAACUGGGAGAAUGGCAGGAGGAAUGUAUAGAUUGGAUAAUAGUUUUUUGUCUUCAUUUGUUUGUGAUCCUUCAACUGUAAUAGACAUUCAUGACAAUGUUUCGAAUAAAUGUAACCAAUCUAAUACCUCUUGUCAACAAAUAAAUAAAGGAUUUUCUAUUCAUGAUACUUAAUGGCAUUUUCGUUUGGGGCAUACAUCUCACACUACUCUCAGUCAUAUUCCAUCUAUAACUUUUAGUCCCAUUAUUGCUGAUUGCAACGUGUGUCAUUUGUCUAAACAACGGCGUCUACCUUUUCCAACCAGUCAAACAUAUUCAUCCAAACCAUUUCAACUCAUUCAUAUAGAUCUUUGGGGACCAUAUAAAGUGCAUUCUAUCACUGGUGCACGAUAUAUGUUAACAUUGGUUGAUGAUUUUAGUCGUGCCACUUGGACUUUCUUUUACAAGAUAAAACACAAGCACCUCAUACCAUUUCCAUGUUUCUCAACUCCAUCACAACACAGUAUCAUACCUCAGUCCAGGUCAUUCGCAGUGAUAAUGGUAGUGAGUUUCUUAAUGUUAAUUGUUCACAAUUGUUUCAUGAUAAAGGCAUCAUUCACCAACGUUCAUUUGCCUACUCUCCACAGCAAAAUGGUGUCGUGGAGCGAAAGCAUAAAUAUCUAUUACAGAUUGCUUGGUCACUCAUGUUUCAAUUACAUAUUCCUAAACAAUUUUGGAGUGAAUCCUUACUCACUGCCACAUACAUCAUAAAUCGUUCACCAACAAGAUUCUUGAAGUGGAAAUCCCCUUAGGAGGUCCUCAAUGGUAAGCCACCUGAUUAUAAUGUCAUGAAAGCCUUCGGGUGUCUCUGUUAUGCGUCUAAUGUUCAUCCAAACAAAGAUAAAUUUUCCCCGCGAGCUUUUCGCUGUAUUUUUCUUCGUUACCCUGUAGGGCAAAAGGCUUACAAACUCUAUAACUUGGACACAAAAUCCUUUUGUAUUUCUCGUGAUGUCCUUUUCCAUGAACACGUCUUUCGUUUCUUUGGGUCACCUGCUGUCUCUUCUUCAUCAAUUAGUAUUCCUAACCCCAUCCUUGAGCCAAGUGAGUCUACAAUUCUUUCCUUUGUCUCAACAGAUGUCCCCACUCAAGAAGUUGUUCCUACGUCCCCUGUUGUUGUCAA